CCUACGGGAGGCAGCAGUGAGGAAUAUUGGUCAAUGGCCGAAAGGCUGAACCAGCCAAGUCGCGUGAAGGAAGACUGCCCUAUGGUUUGUAAACUUCUUUUAUAAGGGAAUAAAGCGAGCCACGUGUGCCUUUUUGCAUGUACUUUAUGAAUAAGGAUCGGCUAACUCCGUGCCAGCAGCCGCGGUAAUACGGAGGAUCCGAGCGUUAUCCGGAUUUAUUGGGUUUAAAGGGAGCGUAGAUGGGUUUUUAAGUCAGGUGUGAAAGUUUGUGGCUCAACCGUAAAAUUGCAAUUGAUACUGGCAGUCUUGAGUACAGUUGAGGUAGGCGGAAUGCGUGGUGUAGCGGUGAAAUGCUUAGAUAUCACGAAGAACCCCGAUUGCGAAGGCAGCUUACUAAACUGUGACUGACACUGAUGCUCGAAAGUGUGGGUAUCAAACAGGAUUAGAUACCCUUGUAGUC
This 460-nucleotide ribosomal RNA is filed under the name uncultured bacterium. Its description in RNAcentral is "partial 16S ribosomal RNA". It matches the Rfam family "Bacterial small subunit ribosomal RNA", at positions 338 to 795 of the family's 1533-position model. The record is from RNAcentral.